This 69-nucleotide transfer RNA is filed under the name Sundamys muelleri (Mueller's giant Sunda rat). RNAcentral describes it as "tRNA-Gly". Lineage: Eukaryota; Metazoa; Chordata; Mammalia; Rodentia; Muridae. The record is from RNAcentral.
ACUCUCUUAGUAUAAACAAUAUAACUGACUUCCAAUUAGUAGACUCUGAAAAAAAAUCAGAAGAGAGUA